CACUCUUCAACUGGAGCUGAUUGUGACAGUUGAAGCUGACUCUCAGUCAGUUCUUCUCACAGGAGAUGGAACCCACUCACCAGAGCAGAGCUGGACCACCUUGUACGCUCACACAUUGUGUCGGGCCCCGCAAAUCAAGCAAGGCCCCGCCUCCCCCUUGUAUCACAGCAAAUGUCUCAGCGAGUGAAGCGUUGGUUUUAGCCACGAGUUCUGAGCAGCUGUGUGUUAAUGUGCAGCCACUUAGCAGCACCUGCAUUUAAAGAACAUCUGUAACUGGGGAAGCUCCAGACAAUAUCCUGGGUUCCACCUUUAUUAGAGUCCUCAUUGGAGGAUUUGAUCUUCCACAGCAACUCCACUUUGUAUCUGAGCCACAAAUACUAAAGUGGGAGUUUAUAUUCAAGAGGAAAAACUGUGUCCAAGAACAUAAGAAGUCAGAUGGAGCUGAAAUAUUGAUUCUGAGAUAACGUGUACUCUUUCUGAUCAGAGAUAUAAAAGAGUCAGAGGAGCUUCACAACACUUCUGGAGCAAAGUGAAUCUACAGCAGAUGUGAAGGAGGAAACUGUGAUAUUUCAAACACUGACGACAUAAGACAAGAUGCAGUGGGACAGGAGAGUGAAUGAAAAGUGUGCGAGGGGUAAAGUUGUGAGUCGGGGCCGAACAGGGCCGAGACUCCUCCUUCUAAUCUGAGUCUAAACACAGAGAUCACAGCUUCUUUCCUCUUUCUACUCACAGUGACUCAACACUGCAGAUAUGACGCCUCUGUUCAUCUCAGUGCUGCUGGCUGCUCUGUGUCUUGAAGGCAGAGCACAACAAGACACUGUGCUGCAACCAGAAGGAGACGUGACUGCGACUGAAGGAGAAGCAGCAACACUUGGCUGUCGAUACGUCAGCAGCUCAGCAAGUGCAUCUCUCCACUGGUACAAACAGGAAGGAACCAACAGCCCAAAAUUCAUCCUGAGCCGCUUUCAACUGGGAGAAGGAAACAAGGCAGACGACUUCAGAGAGAGAUUUUCAUCCACACUGAAUUCCACAUCAUUUCCUCUGAAGAUCCAGAAGCUGCAGCCGUCUGACUCUGCUGUGUACUACUGUGCUCUGCAGCCCACAGUGACAGGAAACUACACAACUCUGUACAAAAACCUGUGGAGCAAAGACAAUACUCCUCUUCCUCCACCAGAGGGAGUCACUCACUGUUACUCUCACAACCUGAGCUGAGCCACUGCACCAACCUCAGAUCAAGUGAACU
Non-coding RNA from Hippoglossus stenolepis (Pacific halibut), 1243 nucleotides. Lineage: Eukaryota; Metazoa; Chordata; Actinopteri; Pleuronectiformes; Pleuronectidae. The record is from the annotation of a RefSeq genome assembly.